AGCACGAUAGCUGGAUGAUGUGGUAAGUAUAUGUUUGGUUUUUAAAGAAAUUGCUAAAUUGUUUUCCAGAGUGGCUGUAUCAAGUAUCAUUUUUACCAGCAAU
RNAcentral lists this microRNA precursor (103 nucleotides) under Marmota monax (woodchuck). Lineage: Eukaryota; Metazoa; Chordata; Mammalia; Rodentia; Sciuridae. The record is from RNAcentral.